UACGUAGGGUGCGAGCGCUGUCCGGAAUUAUUGGGCGUAAAGAGCUCGUAGGCGGUGUGUCACGUCGGCCGUGAAAACCUGCAGCUUAACUGUGGGCGUGCGGUCGAUACGGGCAUCACUGGAGUUCGGUAGGGGAGACUGGAAUUCCUGGUGUAGCGGUGAAAUGCGCAGAUAUCAGGAGGAACACCGGUGGCGAAGGCGGGUCUCUGGGCCGAUACUGACGCUGAGGAGCGAAAGCGUGGGGAGCAAACAGG
RNAcentral lists this ribosomal RNA (254 nucleotides) under uncultured bacterium. RNAcentral's name for it is "partial 16S ribosomal RNA". It matches the Rfam family "Bacterial small subunit ribosomal RNA", at positions 524 to 776 of the family's 1533-position model. The record is from RNAcentral.